CCUCCCUAGACAGGCUUACUCUACUGGUAGCUUGAAUUUGUGAAAUCGGCUCUAAUCUCCCUCAACCCCCCACCCCCCCACCAAAUCCUCUAAAGGUAUUAUUUAAAGGUGAAAAAGAACAGAAGGCAUCAGAGAGGAAGUUUUGGAAGUAGAAAAGCAGAUGGGGUAAGUGACCCAGCAAACAGCAGGAAGUUCCUUCUUCAGCCUGAGUGUACAAAGCCCUGACUUCCAUCAAGGAACCACCCAAAGGCUCCAGACCCAAGAUGUCUGCCUCAACUACACAGAGGAACUCAUGGUACAGGAAUCCCACCCAAGUUGCUGAAACGUAAGAGGGAAAGUGAGACAGGACUGCUGAUCCCCGAGAUUCGCUGAGGGCAGAGGUCACGUCUUAGGCUCUCAUCUCCCCACACGGCAAGGCAAAAAGCAAGCACGGUUCUGGCAAAACCUUCCUCAAGCCUCUAAAUGAAGCCCCAGAACCGCGGCCUCUAGGAAGACAUAGCGACCCACCGUCCCCACCGUCCUUCAGAUGUCGCCCUCCGCUGUGCGUGUCAGCGCUCUCUCCAUGCACACUCCGCGGGGAUCAUGUACACACUACGCUGCAACCACAGGCCCUCCUGCCUCCCUCCCCAGACACAGCAUCCAGGGAGGGAGCGGUUUGAUCCGUCCCCAAGUCCAGGGCACCCAGUAUGUCGUGAUGCUUCGUGAAUGUGGUGGAGUCAAUGCCACAGGUGCGAGUUUCAGCAAACGCAGACUCAUUCACAAUUAACUGCAGGAGGGAUGGAAAAGCAAGAAACGGCAUUAAAAAUUAGUGUGUGGGGUUGGGGGGAGGGCGCCUGGGCGGCUCAGUCGGCUGGGCGUCUGCCUUCAG
Long non-coding RNA from Canis lupus familiaris (dog), 868 nucleotides. RefSeq lists it as uncharacterized. NCBI's taxonomy places the organism in Eukaryota, Metazoa, Chordata, Mammalia, Carnivora, Canidae. The record is from RefSeq and is a predicted model, not a curated record. The transcript is spliced from 3 exons.